AGAACUUAUGGACACCUCUUCAAAAACACUAUGUGGGAUAUGUGACGCCCAGCAUAUCACGAAAUGUGCAGAUUUCUGGUGCCCUGAGUGUGACGAUGGUCUAUGUACUGAGUGUAAGGGUCAUCACAGUUUUUCCAAAGCAAGUCGACAUCAUGGUGUUAUUUCGAUAGAGGAUUACAGAAAAUGGCCCCCUGAUAUUUCAAGCAUAGUCCACCACUGCGUAGAAAAAGCUUCAAAUGUACUGUCCCCAUCAUGAUCAGAUUUGUUGUCUUUUAUGC
RNAcentral lists this long non-coding RNA (278 nucleotides) under Mytilus galloprovincialis (Mediterranean mussel). Lineage: Eukaryota; Metazoa; Mollusca; Bivalvia; Mytilida; Mytilidae. The record is from RNAcentral.